UUUAAAGUCUAAUCUGCCCUAUGAGGAGUUAAAUGGCCGCGGUAUUUUGACCGUGCAAAGGUAGCAUAAUAAUUAGUUUUUUAAUUGAAAGCUGGAAUGAAUGAUUGGACGAGAAAAUAACUGUCUCAGUUUAAUUUUUAGAAUUUUAUUUUUAAGUAAAAAAGCUUAAAUUUUUUUAAAAGACGAGAAGACCCUAUAGAGUUUGAUAUUGAUUGGAGUAUAGAUUUUUUGGAUUUUUUAUAUUUAUAUUUAGUUUAAUAUUUUGUUGGGGUGAUGGAAAAAUUAGAUAAACUUUUUUUUAAUAAUAUAAACAUUUAUUUAUGAUUAUUUGAUCCAAUUAGUUUGAUUAUAAGAUUAAAUUACCUUAGGGAUAACAGCGUAAUUUUUUUUUAGAGUUCUUAUCGAAAGAAAAGAUUGCGACCUCGAUGUUGGAUUAAAAUUAAUUUUUGGUGUAGAAGCUAGAAAAUUAGGUCUGUUCGACCUUUAAAAUUUUACA
RNAcentral lists this ribosomal RNA (496 nucleotides) under Comaserica sp. DA4300. RNAcentral's name for it is "partial 16S large subunit ribosomal RNA". The stretch from base 370 to 496 matches the Rfam family "Bacterial large subunit ribosomal RNA", at positions 2473 to 2600 of the family's 2925-position model. The record is from RNAcentral. Lineage: Eukaryota; Metazoa; Arthropoda; Insecta; Coleoptera; Scarabaeidae.